CGCUGGCGGCGUGCCUAACACAUGCAAGUCGAACGCGAAAGUCCCGCAAGGGAUAAGUAGAGUGGCAAACGGGUGAGUAACACGUGGGUGACCUGCCUUCGAGUGGGGGAUAACGUCCCGAAAGGGACGCUAAUACCGCAUGACAUCCUGCCUUUGAAGAGGUGGAGAUCAAAGCCGGGGACCGCAAGGCCUGGCGUUUGAAGAGGGGCCCGCGUCUGAUUAGCUAGUUGGUGGGGUAAUGGCUCACCAAGGCUUCGAUCAGUAUCCGGCCUGAGAGGGCGGACGGACACACUGGGACUGAGACACGGCCCAGACUCCUACGGGAGGCAGCAGUGGGGAAUUGUUCGCAAUGGGCGCAAGCCUGACGACGCAACGCCGCGUGGAGGAUGAAGACCUUCGGGUCGUAAACUCCUUUCGAUCGAGACGAAUGGCUUCCGGGUGAACAGCCCGGGAGAAUGACGGUACCGAGAGAAGAAGCCCCGGCUAACUCCGUGCCAGCAGCCGCGGUAAUACGGGGGGGGCAAGCGUUGUUCGGAAUUACUGGGCGUAAAGGGCUCGUAGGCGGCCAACUAAGUCAUACGUGAAAUCCCUCGGCUUAACCGGGGAACUGCGUGUGAUACUGGAUGGCUUGAGAUUGGGAGAGGGAUGCGGAAUUCCAGGUGUAGCGGUGAAAUGCGUAGAUAUCUGGAGGAACACCGGUGGCGAAGGCGGCAUCCUGGACCAACACUGACGCUGAGGAGCGAAAGCCAGGGGA
Molecule: ribosomal RNA, 754 nt
Filed under: uncultured soil bacterium
Lineage: Bacteria
Description: bacterial SSU rRNA
Rfam family: Bacterial small subunit ribosomal RNA
Source: RNAcentral